RNAcentral lists this ribosomal RNA (503 nucleotides) under uncultured Anaerostipes sp. RNAcentral describes it as "partial 16S ribosomal RNA". Lineage: Bacteria; Bacillati; Bacillota; Clostridia; Lachnospirales; Lachnospiraceae. The record is from RNAcentral.
CACGUAGUUAGCCGGGGCUUCUUAGUCAGGUACCGUCAUUAUCUUCCCUGCUGAUAGAGCUUUACAUACCGAAAUACUUCUUCACUCACGCGGCGUCGCUGCAUCAGGGUUCCCCCCAUUGUGCAAUGUUCCCCACUGCUGCCUCCCGUAGGAGUCUGGGCCGUGUCUCAGUCCCAAUGUGGCCGUUCACUCUCUCAAGCCGGCUACUGAUCGUCGCCUUGGUAAGCCGUUACCUUACCAACCAGCUAAUCAGACGCGGGUCCAUCCCAUAGCGAUAAAUCUUUCAAAACAGGACCAUGCCGGUCCCGCUUUCCCAUGCGGUAUUAGCAGCCGUUUCCAGCUGUUCGUCCCCCUCUAGUGGGGCACGGUUACCCACGUCGUUACCUCACCCCGUCCGCCACUCAGUCAUCCCAUAUGCCUUCCCUUCCCCAGCAAGCUGGUUCUGUCGUGCGGGUGGAUGCUUCGUUCGACUUGCAUGUGUUAGGCCUACGCCCGCAGUCGUU